UCUCAAAGUGAACAUUUGAUUGCACACAAGUCACAGCAAUUACUACCGAACACCACAAUGGAGCAGGGUGAAACCAGCAUUGGGUGAUCUGUGCAUGAUGGUAAACAUCAUUUUACAGCAUAACCUUUAUAUUGAACAAUCAAAUAAUUUGUACGUACACCAUAAAAAAUACCAAAAUUUGGUCAUAUCAACUUUACAGAAGGCACGUUAUAACUAUACAGUACUUGAGCGCAGUGUUAAGUUUAGAGGACAAGUGAAAACCACAGAUAGGAUUUCACAAAGUCUCAAAGUCUCUCACUGAAUAAACAUAGGCUUAAAGUACUGAAAAUGUGACAGCAGAAUGUGGUGGUGGUUUACAAGGUCUAUGCUGAGAAUUGGGAUGAAGGACAAAGUGGUAAUUCAGUCUUUUCAAACCACCACUGUACCUGAACCACUUUCAAAAGAAGACCUAAGCCAUUUGGACAACAAGCCUAAGAAUAGACCGCAGCAAAGGGGGAACAAACUUCCUAUCAAUACCAUUUCAGAAGAAACACUGAACAAACAGUGAAUAAAGAUUCUGAUCCUGACACAGAGGAACCGAGCUUCACCUUGACAGGGCGUGGCAUCUCAGGAGCCGUUAUGCGCAGGUAGAUCAGACUGCCAAUGGACAGGCCAAUGAAGAGCCAGUAAUUAAAGCUGAAGUAAUUAAUGAGCCGGAACACGUCUCUCUCACAAAGGAAAAGCAAAGCCAUGCCACCCUGGAGAACACACAAACACACAUGCAGAUCUGUGUUGAAGAAUGUGGUUUCUGCUGGGAAAAUGCUACAAAUGAACAUAAAAAGGCAUUUAAAAAGAAAGACAAAUCUUACGACAGACACUCACAUUGAACAACAAAGCUGGGAUAGGUGUGUAGCGCUUAACAUGGAUCAUGGAGAGAAAGUUCGGUAAAUGUCCCUCCCUUGAUCCAACAAAGAACAACCUAACAAAAACAAAAAAACAAAACAAAGCGAAAACAGUUUAGCAGUUUUGAAUGGACAUUUACGAGAUCACUAGCUCACAGUAGGGCUAAGUGUUACCAACUAGCUCACAAUACAAUACUCACAAUAUGCCACGAUUCAGUAUGUCACAAUGAAUUACACCAUCACAACUGGAUGAUGAUGGUUAACACUCAUCUUUCCUCUUGUCAUAUCUUGAUCAUGGCAAAUCCAUAGUAAAUGUUAAGUCAAAUAUUGAAGCUACAAAAGAAGCCCUAAGAGACUUUUGUAGACUGCCAUCUAUAGGUAUGAUGUAGAUAUUAUACCAAUUAAACUACAGUAAUGAUUGUGAACACACAAUCUGUUUUUUUUCCACUAAAUAGACCCCAAAAUGAAUGACAAAUAAUUAUACCGUUUUACAUUCUUUUAAAAAGGUCCUAAAUCUUUACCCUCCCCGUCUCUCUCUCUCAGUACACCUUCAUUUUUCUGAGACACUCUUAUCAAGAGCUGUACUAUGAUGGACAGAUGUUAUGAUAGGAAUCUUGCCUGUCUCCCUGGUCUCCUGUGUGCAGGGCGGAGCCAUUAGCUACUGUACUUUGUGGCAGCUUAAUAUAUCACGUUAUGGGUUCAGGUUUCCUUUUGCUAAUGAGGCUUAAUACGAUGCUUGUCAGUCAAGGAAAGGUGGUUGAACCGCAGUCAUCAGAAAACUCAACUUCCUGCACAGAACUUGCCUCAAUGCAUAUUAAAUAGAUAUAUUCAUGCGUAUUAAGAUUACCAUUGUAUUCACGUUGCCUAAUUUUGUAUCUACAAAACCUUGCAAAUAAAUAAUAAACAUUCAAUACAUUGGGCAGCCA
This is a long non-coding RNA of Colossoma macropomum (tambaqui), 1807 nucleotides long. RefSeq lists it as uncharacterized. NCBI's taxonomy places the organism in Eukaryota, Metazoa, Chordata, Actinopteri, Characiformes, Serrasalmidae. The record is from RefSeq and is a predicted model, not a curated record. The transcript has 3 exons.